UUGGCGGAGGCAGCUGGAUUCCUGGGUAUUCCCAGGAAUACCCAACUAUUUUUAAAAGUGAAUAAGUAUAUACAUCCAUAAUACAUAUAUACAUACUAUAUUGACUAUACUAUAUACUCCUGAGCUCAAAUUUAGCCCAAAUAAAUGAUCCAACCCACAAACAACCAGCUUCGGCCCACGAAACACGGCCCACAGCAACGACCCACGCCCACCGGCCUGCUCUGACCCGAGUCCCUCUCUCUCCCGUCCGUUGAUUGUUCCCCAUUCCCCAAAAUCUCGUGAUGAAAACCUAGAUCGGCAGGUGGCGGAGGCCGGAACCGGGAGCUGCGUCGUGCGUCCGGCGACCGCGAGCGCCGGCACCGUCGCGGCACGCGGCCAGGCGGCUAGGAGGCACGGGGGCGCUGGGCGGCCGGCCGGCGGCGGCGACGCCGCGCCAUUGCGGCAGGCCGCAGGCCGCAGGCCGCUCGGGCGCUCGCCGCUGGGCGCUGCCGUGCUGCCCGCCUGUGCAGUGCGCACGGCCGCACGGGGUCAGGGGCCAAGGGCCAAGGCCGGCAGGCCCAGGGAGGUAGGCAGGGGAGCGACAGAGGCACAGAGCCAUAUACAGGAGAUCAUAGAGCUUUGCAAAUUGCAAAAUGAAGAAGAAGAAGCCGAUUGAUUUGAGAACUUUGUGGGAAAGAAAGGCAAAGGCACAGAAGGUGGGCUCGACAUCAACACCACAGCCAGUUACGAAUGAGAGUGAAGCUCAUAAUCCAGAUGCUCCUGUUGUUGAGGCAGUCACAAUUGAAAGUCAUGUUCAGAUUCAAAAUCGAAGUACUCCUUCUGUUGAGCCUGACAUAGCAACCAAUGAGAUAGAAAGAGAGGUAACAGAACUAGAUAUUGCUAGCAAUGACCCUACAAUAGCAAGCACAACAAUGACAGAGCACCAUGGAGAACCUUUAUCUUGGUUCCCAAUCAGAGAUGGUGAUAACUCAGAUAAUGAACCAUGGAGCUACUCUUUCAAGCCAUGAAGGAACAGAAACAUAAAGUUAGAGUUAAUUUGUAAUUUUUUUAUGUAUUUUGUAAGAACUUCCCUAAUUCCCUUUGUUUCAUGGACAUGUUAGAGUUGAACAGCUUUGUACCUUUGUUUGAUCGAACACAUAUUAUGCCUUUUACUGUUUAUGUGGACUUUUUUA
Panicum virgatum (switchgrass) is the source of this 1172-nucleotide long non-coding RNA. RefSeq lists it as uncharacterized. Lineage: Eukaryota; Viridiplantae; Streptophyta; Magnoliopsida; Poales; Poaceae. The transcript is spliced from 2 exons. The record is from RefSeq and is a predicted model, not a curated record.